AUUGAAUCAAUAUAGAUGUACUAGUAACACCCGGUGAUGUUGAAUAGUAUCAAAGCGCCAUAAUCAAUCUUCUAAAAUAAAGAAAAGAGAUAACGGCCCUAGAAGUUUACAGUUACAUGUGAUUGAUUAGGGAUGGAGGAAUAUAGGGACAAGGGGGGAAUGAGAGGGAGUCUGAGUAGAUAGCUUGCUCAAAUGUGCCUUCGUGGGCACCCCUUACCCCAAACGAUAUCCCUGUCUGGUUACAAAGUAUAAUCCCUCUACCCAAUGUUAAAAAUAAAAUCAGUUAGAUAGAACACUAAGUACUGUAAGUGGAAAAAUCUGGUUCCCCAUAGCUGCUAGGAUUGAUGCCGUGCCCAGGUCAUAAAGAUAACGUCAAACACCAAAUUCCUGCAGGCACUACAAUAGUUGGAUGCUAAUGGGAGCAGCCGAUUCCCUAAUACACGUUUCGCUAUUUCAGCUCAUCAGAGCUUUCGACUAUAGAAAUCGGC
Pelobates cultripes (western spadefoot toad) is the source of this 488-nucleotide non-coding RNA. The record is from the annotation of a GenBank genome assembly. NCBI's taxonomy places the organism in Eukaryota, Metazoa, Chordata, Amphibia, Anura, Pelobatidae.